RNAcentral lists this long non-coding RNA (878 nucleotides) under Fragaria vesca (wild strawberry). Its description in RNAcentral is "long non-coding RNA (FVES_LNC002568)". The record is from RNAcentral. Lineage: Eukaryota; Viridiplantae; Streptophyta; Magnoliopsida; Rosales; Rosaceae.
UUUUUUUCCCUAGAUGAGCUGCUGCUGUCCAGAUCCGCAAAUAUAAAGCACUUUAGCCGACGACAUAUUACUUUAGCCGCGAAAAAAUGCUUCGUCGGCCUGGUUUUUUUUUCCGUCGGCUAAAGCCUUCUUCUGGUAGUGUUCAUCAAUGGAGAUUCUUCCAUUUGGUGUAGUAGUUCUUUGCAAUUGAGCAAGGGUUGCACUUAGGUUUAGGGUUUAUAGACUCCUCACGUUUUGUAUGGUUAACUUGAAAAAAAAAAGAGGAAGAAUACUAAUCUGAUUACAAUUUUUUUUUUGUGUGUGUGAAAUUCAAUGUCUAUUAUUGUCAUUUUGUAUGAGGUUAUAUUUGUAAUCCAAUAAGUCAAAACAUAUGGAGGUACAUUGAGCAAAUCUGGAGGUCCCAAUAGCUGCACUCAUUGUCACAAAGCAGAUUCCACGCACCAAGAUGCAGUUACAUCAUUAAUGUGGAAAUCCUCAAAUUGUCGUAUGUGAAGUUAUAAUGAAGACUAAAGACCCUCGAUCAAUUCCUUCUUUUUAUUUUCAUUUUUGAUCUCAUCAAAUUAAGCGGCCAUAAUAAAAGCACAUCUUCUUCAACUUUGGGUCCUCACAUCAUGUGUAAUGUGUUGGAAAUAUUUAAAAUUAGUUUUUUGAGUUUCAAUUUUAUUAACGGUAUUAGUAUAUAUGCAUAAUAAUGCAACGUGGACAGCCGGAUCAAAAUAUUACAUAUUGAUUGCUCGGUUAACUUGCACCUUAAUGCGUAGAAAAAUUUUUGAUUAACAAUAAUAACGAAACAGAAAACCAUUUAAAAUUAGUUAAAAGCUGACAGAUAGAAAAUCAAUACAGUGAUUAAAAGAGAGAACGUGGACCAGAUCGAGUAC